CCGGUGUUUGUCUUGUAAUCUGUCAGCCUGAUCUGUCUCAACUAAAUGUCAAUCUGAUUUGUCUUGGAGUAGAAUAAUUAAAAAGGUUACGGGACACUUGAUUAUUUAAACUAAGUUUAAAUUAUAGAGAAAAUAAAUUUAAAAAUAAGUUUUAAAAGAUGAAAGAAAAUAAAGUAUAAAAUAAGCUUAGUCAAAUCUAUAAAAUAAAUUUAAUUAUAUUUAAAAAAUAAAUUCAAAUAAAU
RNAcentral lists this long non-coding RNA (242 nucleotides) under Daucus carota (carrot). Its description in RNAcentral is "long non-coding RNA (DCAR_LNC002728)". The record is from RNAcentral. Lineage: Eukaryota; Viridiplantae; Streptophyta; Magnoliopsida; Apiales; Apiaceae.